This 372-nucleotide ribosomal RNA is filed under the name uncultured organism. Its description in RNAcentral is "bacterial SSU rRNA". It matches the Rfam family "Bacterial small subunit ribosomal RNA", at positions 526 to 896 of the family's 1533-position model. The record is from RNAcentral.
CGUAGGUGGCAAGCGUUGUCCGGAUUUACUGGGCGUAAAGAGCGCGCAGGCGGUCGUACAAGUCGCGUGUGAAAGCCCCCGGCUCAACUGGGGAGGGUCACGCGAUACUGUUCGACUCGAAGGCAGGAGAGGGAAGCAGAAUUCCCGGUGUAGUGGUGAAAUGCGUAGAUAUCGGGAGGAAUACCAGUGGCGAAGGCGGCUUCCUGGCCUGUUCUUGACGCUGAGGCGCGAAAGCUAGGGUAGCAAACGGGAUUAGAUACCCCGGUAGUCCCAGCCGUAAACGAUGGACACUAGGUGUUGGUGGUAUCAACCCCGCCAGUGCCGAAGCUAACGCGUUAAGUGUCCCGCCUGGGGAGUACGGCCGCAAGGCUA